CCAACCUUGCCAUAGCUCAGUGGUUUAGAGCGCCUGCCUUGCAAGCAGAAGGUCGACGGUUCAAUACCAGGUAGGGCUGGG
Podarcis lilfordi (Lilford's wall lizard) is the source of this 81-nucleotide non-coding RNA. NCBI's taxonomy places the organism in Eukaryota, Metazoa, Chordata, Lepidosauria, Squamata, Lacertidae. The record is from the annotation of a GenBank genome assembly.